RNAcentral lists this ribosomal RNA (253 nucleotides) under uncultured bacterium. RNAcentral describes it as "partial 16S ribosomal RNA". It matches the Rfam family "Bacterial small subunit ribosomal RNA", at positions 524 to 776 of the family's 1533-position model. The record is from RNAcentral.
UACGGAGGGUGCAAGCGUUAAUCGGAUUUACUGGGCGUAAAGCGUGCGUAGGCGGCUAGAUCAGUCGGAUGUGAAAUCCCCGGGCUUAACCUGGGAACUGCAUUCGAUACUGUCUGGCUAGAGUAUGGUAGAGGAAAGUGGAAUUUCAGGUGUAGCGGUGAAAUGCGUAGAUAUCUGAAAGAACAUCGAUGGCGAAGGCAACUUUCUGGGCCAAUACUGACGCUGAGGUACGAAAGCGUGGGGAGCAAACAGG